RNAcentral lists this ribosomal RNA (167 nucleotides) under Lasiodiplodia pseudotheobromae. Its description in RNAcentral is "5.8S ribosomal RNA". It matches the Rfam family "5.8S ribosomal RNA". Rfam says of the family: 5.8S ribosomal RNA (5.8S rRNA) is a component of the large subunit of the eukaryotic ribosome. It is transcribed by RNA polymerase I as part of the 45S precursor that also contains 18S and 28S rRNA. Functionally, it is thought that 5.8S rRNA may be involved in ribosome translocation. Lineage: Eukaryota; Fungi; Ascomycota; Dothideomycetes; Botryosphaeriales; Botryosphaeriaceae. The record is from RNAcentral.
AACUUUCAACAACGGAUCUCUUGGUUCUGGCAUCGAUGAAGAACGCAGCGAAAUGCGAUAAGUAAUGUGAAUUGCAGAAUUCAGUGAAUCAUCGAAUCUUUGAACGCACAUUGCGCCCCUUGGUAUUCCGGGGGGCAUGCCUGUUCGAGCGUCAUUACAACCCUCAA